This 250-nucleotide ribosomal RNA is filed under the name uncultured bacterium. Its description in RNAcentral is "partial 16S ribosomal RNA". It matches the Rfam family "Bacterial small subunit ribosomal RNA", at positions 524 to 773 of the family's 1533-position model. The record is from RNAcentral.
UACGUAGGGGGCAAGCGUUGUCCGGAAUCAUUGGGCGUAAAGCGCGUGUAGGCGGCUAGGUAAGUCUGCUCUGAAAGCCUGGGGCUCAACCCCAGGAGGCGGGUGGAUACUGUCUAGCUUGAGUUCGGAAGAGGCCAGUGGAAUUCCCGGUGUAGCGGUGGAAUGCGCAGAUAUCGGGAGGAACACCAAUCGCGAAGGCAGCUGGCUGGGACGUAACUGACGCUGAGACGCGAAAGCGUGGGGAGCAAAC